AUUGAACGCUGGCGGCAUGCCUCACACAUGCAAGUCGAACGGCAGCACGGGAGCAAUCCUGGUGGCGAGUGGCGAACGGGUGAGUAAAGCAUCGGAACGUGCCCAGUCGUGGGGGAUAACGUAGCGAAAGCUACGCUAAUACCGCAUACGAUCUGUGGAUGAAAGCGGGGGACCGUAAGGCCUCGCGCGAUUGGAGCGGCCGAUGUCAGAUUAGGUAGGUGGUGAGGUAAAGGCUCACCAAGCCGACGAUCUGUAGCUGGUCUGAGAGGACGAGCAGCCAAAAUGGGACUGAGACACGGCCCAGACUGCGACGGGAGGCAGCAGGGGGGAAUGUUGGAGAAGGGGCGCAAGCCUGAUCCAGCAAUGCCGCGUGCAGGAUGAAGGCAUUCGGGUUGUAAACUGCUUUUGUACGGAGCGAAACGGCUUCCACUAAUACUGGGGGCUAAUGACGGUACCGUAAGAAUAAGCACCGGCUAACUACGUGCCAGCAGCCGCGGUAA
Molecule: ribosomal RNA, 500 nt
Filed under: uncultured bacterium
Lineage: Bacteria
Description: partial 16S ribosomal RNA
Rfam family: Bacterial small subunit ribosomal RNA
Source: RNAcentral